RNAcentral lists this unclassified non-coding RNA (232 nucleotides) under Hevea brasiliensis (rubber tree). The record is from RNAcentral. Lineage: Eukaryota; Viridiplantae; Streptophyta; Magnoliopsida; Malpighiales; Euphorbiaceae.
GCUGCACCAGAUCGUUCCUCCAAAAGACAGGAUCGAAUCAAGGUGUCAAUUGGUGAUCCUUUAAGAGCAUUUCCAAGCUCCUUGCAUGUCCAGAGGAUUAAUCCUCCUCUAGUGAAUAUAAGCAAUUGCUCUAACAUCCUCGAUUUUCACAAAAUACCUCUUUUUGUUUUUUUUCCUGAACGAACAGGGGAAAUUCGGGGGAAAGAAAAAAAAAAGGAAAUUUUUGACCCGU